This 369-nucleotide ribosomal RNA is filed under the name Triticum aestivum (bread wheat). RNAcentral describes it as "partial small subunit ribosomal RNA". The record is from RNAcentral. Lineage: Eukaryota; Viridiplantae; Streptophyta; Magnoliopsida; Poales; Poaceae.
AUGUCUAUCUCAAAAUCAGAUACACAGUUCGUGCAAAAUAUGAAGGGGGGCAGCGUGGUGUACAUGAUUGCUUUUUUGUUCAUCGGGUGCCUUCUUAUGGUUGGACAAUGUCGUCCUGAGCCCCCAAGCACCUAUGGAGAUGGCCAUGCCAACGCGACUAUGGCAGUCUCGUCAAUAGAUGAGAGCAAAGUUACUGUGAAAUUUUGUGUUAUUAGAAAUUGCAAGACAAAAGGUGAAUUCUGGGGCUGGAAUGGAGGGUGCUACUGUUGCCUCAAUGCGCCAGGCAUACCAUGUUUUGAACACCAAUAUCAGUGUAAUCAGAAUUGCCCACCAAUCCGAAAUAAGGUUGUGCAAUUCGAGAAUAUAUAA